Molecule: long non-coding RNA, 456 nt
Organism: Venturia canescens
Lineage: Eukaryota; Metazoa; Arthropoda; Insecta; Hymenoptera; Ichneumonidae
Exons: 3
Source: RefSeq, a predicted model, not a curated record
GCUCAGUGUCAUUGGAUCGCAGGACUCCGUGCCGCUCAAAAGUUCUGCAAUGGUUUUCAAUGAUAUCAUUAUUACUUGGAAAAACGCAAAAGAAAUAUAACAAAAUAGGCAUCGAUAUCGCGUUCAAGAUGAUUGAUUAAAGCAUAAACGACUAAUAAUGUUACCGGAAGAGAACAAGGCUGGCCUUUUCUUGGGAAGACUGCCGAAACCGCUACUCGCGCUAGCUAUACUUCCGGCGAGAGAACCGCUAGAUACGUAAUCGUCACGAUUGACUCCUCUCUCGGGGCCUAUUACUUCAUCCGUCGUAACACCAGAUUUUUUCACACUUUGGACACGCAACAAAUGCGAAUCUCCAACGAUUGUUGGCAACUUACACUUUAAACAGAAUGUCACCCGAGAGCAUGUUCAUCUUAAUGGCAACCCCGAGCAUCGAAUUAUCUUGGCGAUGUCGCGCGU